RNAcentral lists this ribosomal RNA (274 nucleotides) under uncultured bacterium. Its description in RNAcentral is "partial 16S ribosomal RNA". It matches the Rfam family "Bacterial small subunit ribosomal RNA", at positions 523 to 796 of the family's 1533-position model. The record is from RNAcentral.
AUACGGAGGGUGCGAGCGUUGUUCGGAAUUACUGGGCGUAAAGGGCGCGCAGGCGGCUUGAUAAGUCAGAUGUGAAAGCCCACGGCUCAACCGUGGAAGUGCAUCUGAAACUGUCUGGCUUGAGUACUGGAGAGGAAAGUGGAAUUCCUGGUGUAGAGGUGAAACUCGUAGAUAUCAGGAGGAACACCGGUGGCGAAGGCGACUUUCUGGACAGAUACUGACGCUGAGGCGCGAAAGCGUGGGGAGCAAACAGGAUUAGAAACCCCAGUAGUCC